Molecule: non-coding RNA, 1108 nt
Organism: Monodelphis domestica (gray short-tailed opossum)
Lineage: Eukaryota; Metazoa; Chordata; Mammalia; Didelphimorphia; Didelphidae
Source: RefSeq, a predicted model, not a curated record
GGCCCCCUACGCCGUGACGUUUCGCCCUUUCCUGGCCUCCCAGCCGUUUCUGCGCAGCCCACGGGCGUCCGACUGGGAUCCAGAGCAGUCAGGGCCAUCCUUAAUAAACUCUUUUGGGGCGGCGCGAGGAGGGAGACGUGUUUGUAGAAAGGAAGUCAGAGAAAUGCCCUCGAGAACCUCGGACCCUGUGAGGUGAGGGAGGAGACGCUCCCGUCGGGGUCCGCUCCGUAGCACGGAAAGCGGAGUGGGGGGAGAGGUCAUGGGGAACGGACUCUCCCGCCCCCCAUUUCAGGCCUGCAGGCCGUGAGUACCCAGAGGUGGCCCAACUCACACACAAGCUCCAGGCUUCUGGGCCCGGCCCCCACCCUCUCCUCUGGCCAGAGAGAAAAGUCGAAAUGCCCCUUCGAAUCGCCUUUAUUCACACUGCGGGGGUGGAGGCGAGGCAGGUGGCUACGGACCGCGCGAUACCUAUCCUAGGCAGAGAAGACCUGCUUGGCCCAGGCACGCUGUCCAUCUUCUGAGCAACUGCUAUUGCUGGGAGAAGGCUCCGGGCAGAGGACCGGAUUAGGACGUAAGCACAGAAAACGAAAGUCUUUCCUGAGCCUCCUAGAAGAAGUUACCCGGUCAGAUGAAGGGAGAGAACAGUGCAGUACAGAGCCUGUGGUAAGGGCUUCAGGCACCUCUCUUCCUCCCGAUUCCUUUGACAAAGCCUGGAACCCAAAGGAAUUCUGAGAUCUCUGGGACCCAGAGCACAAGGCCCACCCACAAGUCUUGAGAUGAAGACACACCGUGGGGUACUUGUUGCAGGGGAAUAAAGGAGCUUCUUCCUAGAAGAGUAACUCACAUGUUGAGGACUCAGCAUUAGCCGUCUACACAGGACCCUCCUGAGAUGUCGAACCUCUGCUCGGACAGAACAACGGACGAACUUGUGCUGGACAGGGAGGGAAGACAGAGAAAGAGCAAUGGACUCCAAGUCAAGCACUCUUAAGUUCAAAUACUGGUCCUGCCCAAUGCCCUUCCCAAGUGUCUGCAUCUGAGAAAUGGGGAAGAUAUAAUCUACCUCCAGGAUUACUUUCACUUUAGUUAGUAAACCUUAAAGUGCUUUAGA